This is an RNA transcript of Cygnus atratus (black swan), 1645 nucleotides long. It is a transcript of the gene named heterogeneous nuclear ribonucleoprotein D, with no coding region annotated. The record is from RefSeq and is a predicted model, not a curated record. NCBI's taxonomy places the organism in Eukaryota, Metazoa, Chordata, Aves, Anseriformes, Anatidae. The transcript has 8 exons.
CUUCCGCCCGCCAUUUUAGGCUGGCUCGGCGUCGGCGCCAUUAAGACGAGCGGGCGGAGGGCUCGGGCCGGGGCCGCCAGCGGGGCCGGCGCCGCGGCGGGGAAGCGGAGCCGGGGGCGGCGGCGGCGCCAUGUCGGAGCAGCAGUUCGCCGUGGACGCGGCCGGCGGCGGGGGCGGCCCGGCGGAGCAGCCGGAACAGCCUGAGGGGCUGCCGGGGGCCGGCGCGGGGGGCGCCGACGGGGCUGGCGGCGGCGGCGGCGGAGGGGGCGAGUCGGAGGGAGCCAAGAUCGACGCCAGCAAGAACGAGGAGGACGAGGGGAAAAUGUUCAUUGGCGGCCUUAGCUGGGACACUACAAAGAAAGACCUGAAGGACUAUUUCUCUAAAUUUGGCGAAGUUGUAGACUGCACUCUGAAGUUAGACCCCAUCACUGGGCGAUCGAGAGGCUUCGGCUUUGUACUCUUUAAAGAAUCGGAGAGCGUAGAUAAGGUCAUGGACCAGAAAGAACACAAGCUGAAUGGGAAGGUCAUUGAUCCUAAAAGAGCGAAAGCCAUGAAAACAAAAGAACCCGUCAAAAAGAUUUUUGUUGGGGGCUUAUCUCCAGACACACCUGAAGAGAAAAUAAGGGAAUACUUUGGAGGUUUUGGUGAGGUUGAGUCUAUAGAGCUCCCCAUGGACAACAAAACUAACAAGAGGCGUGGAUUUUGCUUCAUUACUUUCAAGGAGGAGGAACCAGUGAAGAAAAUAAUGGAAAAGAAAUACCACAACGUUGGGCUUAGUAAAUGUGAAAUAAAAGUAGCCAUGUCAAAGGAACAGUACCAGCAGCAGCAGCAGUGGGGGAGCAGAGGAGGAUUUGUCGGAAGAGCUCGAGGAAGAGGCGGCGGUAAGUUUGCACUGGCGUGGUAUAAGACGUCGAGGGGCUUGCUUGAGCGAAAGCAAGUCUCCUGCAGUUCUGAGUUCUGGCACGCUGUGUUGCAGGCCCCAGUCAAAACUGGAACCAGGGAUACAGCAACUACUGGAAUCAGGGGUAUGGGAACUAUGGCUACAACAGCCAAGGGUACGGAGGUUACGGAGGAUAUGACUACACUGGUUACAACAACUACUACGGAUAUGGUGACUAUAGCAAUCAGCAGAGUGGUUAUGGGAAAGUAUCUCGGCGAGGUGGUCAUCAAAAUAGCUACAAACCAUACUAAAUUAUUCCGUUCGCAACUUACCCUGAACAGCGGGAACUUCAUUGCAGGCCCUGUGUCGCGCUGACUUCACGAUUCUCACAGGCCCGCUCAAUGCGGACAGGGUACGAGAUGCUCACGCUCUCGAAUGCUGCCGUUUGGUGCAGCAGCAGUAUUUUCUCAUGGGAAGAGUCAUUUGGGGCGGCACAUGCUGCCUGCUAAUAGCAGUUCAGACUAAUUUUUGUAUCAAGUCCAUGAUGGGAAGUAAGCCGUGGGGUCCCCCUGAAGUUUAAUUGAGUGCUCGUUAAGGCAAAAUGGCUUUCACACCGUCUUAUUUCUUAACCACGAUGCUUACCGAUCGCCUUGUUUUACGCCCCUCCCUCUGUACCGUAGCGCGAGUCCUGUGUUGAAGCCCCGUGUGGCAGUGUCCUGCUGUAGUGGUGUCGGGCCGGUUUUUUAAUAAAUCUUUUUGUACGAA